RNAcentral lists this ribosomal RNA (497 nucleotides) under uncultured bacterium. Its description in RNAcentral is "partial 16S ribosomal RNA". It matches the Rfam family "Bacterial small subunit ribosomal RNA", at positions 28 to 507 of the family's 1533-position model. The record is from RNAcentral.
GAUGAACGCUGGCGGCGUGCCUAAUACAUGCAAGUCGAGCGAACAGACGAGGAGCUCGCUCCUCUGACGUUAGCGGCGGAUGGGUGAGUAACACGUGGAUAACCUACCUAUAAGACUGGGAUAACUUCGGGAAACCGGAGCUAAUACCGGAUAAUAUAUUGAACCGCAUGGUUCAAUAGUGAAAGACGGUUUUGCUGUCACUUAUAGAUGGAUCCGCGCCGCAUUAGCUAGUUGGUAAGGUAACGGCUUACCAAGGCAACGAUGCGUAGCCGACCUGAGAGGGUGAUCGGCCACACUGGAACUGAGACACGGUCCAGACUCCUACGGGAGGCAGCAGUAGGGAAUCUUCCGCAAUGGGCGAAAGCCUGACGGAGCAACGCCGCGUGAGUGAUGAAGGUCUUCGGAUCGUAAAACUCUGUUAUUAGGGAAGAACAAAUGUGUAAGUAACUAUGCACGUCUUGACGGUACCUAAUCAGAAAGCCACGGCUAACUACGUG